This 253-nucleotide ribosomal RNA is filed under the name uncultured bacterium. Its description in RNAcentral is "partial 16S ribosomal RNA". It matches the Rfam family "Bacterial small subunit ribosomal RNA", at positions 524 to 776 of the family's 1533-position model. The record is from RNAcentral.
UACGUAGGGUGCGAGCGUUGUCCGGAAUUACUGGGCGUAAAGAGCUCGUAGGCGGUUUGUUGCGUCGGCUGUGAAAUCCCGAGGCUCAACCUCGGGUCUGCAGUCGAUACGAGCAAACUAGAGUGUUGCAGGGGAGACUGGAAUUCCUGGUGUAGCGGUGAAAUGCGCAGAUAUCAGGAGGAACACCGGUGGCGAAGGCGACUUACUGGACACAUAUUGACGCUGAGGUGCGAAAGCGUGGGGAGCAAACAGG